This 76-nucleotide transfer RNA is filed under the name Marinobacter sp. Its description in RNAcentral is "tRNA-Ala". It matches the Rfam family "tRNA". Rfam says of the family: Transfer RNA (tRNA) molecules are approximately 80 nucleotides in length. RNAcentral also lists the same sequence under 14 other names. Lineage: Bacteria; Pseudomonadati; Pseudomonadota; Gammaproteobacteria; Pseudomonadales; Marinobacteraceae. The record is from RNAcentral.
GGGGCCAUAGCUCAGCUGGGAGAGCGCCUGCUUUGCAAGCAGGAGGUCGCCGGUUCGAUCCCGGCUGGCUCCACCA